GGUGAGUAACACGUAAGUAACCUGCCUUUAAGACGAGGAUAACAACCGGAAGGUUACUAAGACUGGAUAGGAAACAAAAAGGCAUCUUUUUGUUUUUAAAAGACCUUCUUACGAAGGUAUGCUUAAAGAGGGGCUUGCGCCACAUUAGUUAGUUGGUAGAGUAAAAGCCUACCAAGACGAUGAUGUGUAGCUGGACUGAGAGGUUGAACAGCCACAUUGGGACUGAGACACGGCCCAAACUCCUACGGGAGGCAGCAGUAGGGAAUUUUCGGCAAUGGAGGAAACUCUGACCGAGCAACGCCGCGUGAACGAUGAAGUAUUUCGGUAUGUAAAGUUCUUUUAUUGAAGAAGAAAAAGUAGUGGAAAAACUAUAUUGACGUUAUUCAAUGAAUAAGCCCCGGCUAACUAUGUGCCAGCAGCCGCGGUAAGACAUAGGGGGCGAGCGUUAUCCGGAAUUAUUGGGCGUAAAGGGUGCGUAGGCUGUUAGAUAAGUCUAUAAUUUAAUUUCAGUGCUUAACGCUGUCUUGUUAUAGAAACUGUCUUGACUAGAGUGAGAUAGAGGCAAGCGGAAUUCCAUGUGUAGCGGUAAAAUGUGUAAAUAUAUGGAGGAACACCAGAAGCGUAGGCGGCUUGCUGGGUCUUUACUGACGCUGAGGCACGAAAGCGUGGGUAGCAAACAGGAUUAGAUACCCUGGUAGUCCACGCCGUAAACGAUGAGUAGUGAGUGUUGUCGUAUUUUCUCGGUACUGAAGUUAACACAUUAAGUACUCCGCCUGAGUAGUACGCCCGCAAGUAUGAAACUAAAAGGAAUUGACGGGACUCCGCACAAGCGGUGGAUCAUGUUGUUUAAUUCGAAGAUACACGAAAAAUCUUACCAGGUCUUGACAUACUCUGCAAAGCUAUAGAAAUAUAGCUCACUUUAUCAGGGAUACAAGUGGUGCAUGGUGGUUGUCAGCUCGUGUCGUGAGAAGUUAGGUUAAGUCCUAAAACGAAGGCAACCCCCCUUGUUAAUUGCCAGCACAUAAUGGUGGGGGGUUUAACGGGAAUGCCAAUUAAACAAAGGAGGAAGGGGGGGGGUACGUCAAAUCAUCAUGCCCCUUAUGAUCUGGGCUACAAACGUGAUACAAUGGCUGUGACAAAGAGUAGCUGAAACGCGAGUUUUUAGCCAAUCUCAAAAAAGCAGUCUCAGUUCGGAUUGAAGUCUGUAACUCGACUUCAUGAAGUUGGAAUCGCUAGUAAUCGCGAAUCAGCAUGUCGCGGUGAAUACGUUCUCGGGGUUUGUACACACCGCCCGUCAAACCACGAAAGUUAGCAAUGCCCGAAAGCAGUAGCUUAACUUCGCAAGAAGAG
This 1350-nucleotide ribosomal RNA is filed under the name Brinjal little leaf phytoplasma. RNAcentral's name for it is "bacterial SSU rRNA". It matches the Rfam family "Bacterial small subunit ribosomal RNA", at positions 105 to 1452 of the family's 1533-position model. Lineage: Bacteria; Bacillati; Mycoplasmatota; Mollicutes; Acholeplasmatales; Acholeplasmataceae. The record is from RNAcentral.